GCUUCCCAAAGAACUAAAGACUCUUUGGAGAUGUGAAUAAUGCAGCAUUUUUGGGUACACGAGAUUAACAUGAGAUUGGGCAAAACUCUGUGUGUUAUGUCCCCUUUAAUGCAUUCAAACAAUGUAAACACUUCCCCACUGAUGCAUUAUUGUCUGUUAUCAGGCUGCUAUAUUGUAUGGAAGCCCGUUUCCGCCAUAACAUCCACAAAAAACAAAAAAAAGACUUACUGACACAUGCACAACACAAGAGUGACAGCACGCUAGCGACAUCUGUUGGUCAAAGCCAUGCACGAACACCGCAAACAUUGCUUGUUCUGUAAUCUAAAGUGGAUAAUGCUAUAAUCUUUCAUUAAAUAAUGAUUUCAGAUAGUUUAUCUGUAUGUAAUCCUUAAUUUGUAGCACUUACCAACAAGUUACUCUGCCAGCAUGAUAGUUCAUGGCUUCAGAUAUAGAAGAAUAUAUUCCAACAUAAUCACACACAUUUUAUGAAGAUACAUAUCUAUGCUUCAGCGUCCCACACCGCUUCUUGCAUGUGGAUGUGCUUAAUGUCGCUUAAAGUACAAUGACAAAUUCAGGAUACAAUAUUACUGAUCAUGCAUACAGGCAAGAAUAAAAGCCCAGAAUUUGAACACAACACCCAAAGUUGCACGUUAAGCGUUUUCCUAUAGAAAACCAUUACAGAAAAUGCAUAAGCGUUGCUGUUUUGUGUUGCAUUCAUAUUUUGGGUCCACCUGAAUGCCUAUAUAUACAAUACGGAUGUUCAUUAAUUUCUGUACUGAAUUUGGUUCAAUCUGUCUUUGUACUUCAAGCCACGUUAAGCAUUUUUCAAGUUAAGAGUUUGUCCUGCAAGAAGUGGGAUGCUGAAGACCAAGAGGUUGCUGUGGUAAUGUACAACGAUGCUUUGUGCUUUUGAAAUGAGAUGGCUUACUGGAUGAACAUUGUACAGGUAUGCAUGUGAUGCAUGAAAGGGACAGCUAAUAAAACUAAUAAAUCAUAGAAAUAAACAUCUAUAAAUUAAGUUUAUAUGUGUAAUGGCUUUCAUUUCUUCAUAAAAUGCC
This is a long non-coding RNA of Cyprinus carpio carpio, 1058 nucleotides long. NCBI's taxonomy places the organism in Eukaryota, Metazoa, Chordata, Actinopteri, Cypriniformes, Cyprinidae. The record is from Ensembl.